CACCCCUAAAAGCAACCCUUCUGAACACCAUAAGCACUUCAGAAAGGCUGUCGCUUUCCCUUUUCGGAAAUUAGAGCUAUGUCGACACUGCCGUUUCAGGGCGGGGUCAUUUUCAGGACUUUCGUCCCAGAUUCAGGUUUUCGCACAUAUGCCAUGUUGACCGCCAUGGUCAUUUUACCCUAAAACAGUCGAGAUUACCUGUCCUAAAUGAAUCGCAUACAAACUCAUAUACUGGUCCUAGACUAAAUGUUUUCGCAGAAUGUGUGCAUUUUGUCUUUUCGGAUCAAGAAUAAGGGAAUAUUGUAGAGAAUUUUUUUAGCUUCAAUUUAAGCCUAAGUUAAUUUGUUUGCGUAGUAUGUUGGCGGCUAAAAUGUUCGUUGUCCAGACAAGAAAUUAUAUACGAAAAUGCGUAAAUUCUUCAGUACUUUUUUACCGAAAUGGCAUGUGAUAACCUCUCUCACUGCUUUUAAGACAGGUUUAGAAGCCUUCUUAUUAAUAAAUAAUCGAUCUGACUCCCACACGGCAAUCAGGUAGAAC
Paramuricea clavata is the source of this 537-nucleotide non-coding RNA. NCBI's taxonomy places the organism in Eukaryota, Metazoa, Cnidaria, Anthozoa, Malacalcyonacea, Plexauridae. The record is from the annotation of a GenBank genome assembly.